GGUGUGGGGGUAUUAGUGGUAAGAGAGACUGUCCUUCAACACAGUGGUGGGUGGUUAAAUGUUUCUAGUGCUGGACAGACGGCCCCUGACUCUGUCCAGGGAUUAUAGGGGGGUUUUUAUGUGUGUGUGUGUUAUUGUUGUCGCGGGGCAUGAAAUUUCCAGUGGUGCCCCUGCUUUGGCUCCACUGGGAGCUGAUGUGCCACUGAGAACACAUUUUGUUUUUGUUAUUGAUUAAAAGGAAGUGACCGAGAGAAGCUGGGUGAUUGAUUUCCAUCCAAGUAACACAUACAUUAAAGGGCUCAACCUCCACACACAAACUUAUUGAAGACAGGCAUGCACUGACACAUACACAUGUCCACGUUGCAGAGAUGCAGACAGAUGUAUCAAUAAAGACACAAGGAUCCUGCAGAAGUCCUAAAAACCAUCAAUGCUAUGAUGAAACGGACUCUCAUGAGGACUGCGGCAGACAAGAGUCUGUGACCUCAGAGUAAGGUCCAUAAAAACCCUACUACUUACGCAGACCAAUAAGAAGAAGAGGAUUGCUUGGGAACCACAAAGACUGGAUGGAUGGUAUCUGAAUGUAUGGCUCCCACCAUGGUGUAUGGAGGAGGAGGAGGUGUGAUGGUGUGAGGGUCGACAUUAUUGUUACCACAACAUUCUGCAGCAACAUGCCGUCCCAUCUGGUUUGCGCUUAGUGGGAUCAUCAUUUGGUUUUCAACAGGACAACGAGCCAAAACACGCCUCCUGGCUAAUGUAAGGGCUAUUUCACCAAGGAGAUGAUAAAGGUGAUGGCAGUGCUACAUCGGAUGAUCUGUCCUCUACAAUCAUCCUACCCACACGUAACUGAGAUGGUUUUGGAUGUGUUGGAUCGCACAGUGAAAGAAAAGCUGCCAACAAGUGCUCAGCAUAUGUGGGAACUCCUUCAAGACUGUUGGAAAACCGUCCCAGGUGACGACCUCAUGAAACUGGUCAAGAGAGUGCCAAGAGUGCACAAAGCCUCCAUUAAAGCAAAAGAGUAAAUGAACACGAAAAUCCUGGCUGCUCCCUCCAUCAUAGCGUCCAGUCAUGUUUAAAAAGUGCAGCUCAGGACGCAGGGGUCGGGGGACACCGAUUGACCACCAGCAUGAAUAGCGAUGUAGAGCCGGUUAUUAGAGCUAACCAACAAUGAGCAGAUGUGUCAGACUGUUCAUGUGCACUGGACACCACAAUGUUACGUUUUUCAAAAGAGAAUAUCUGGAAAAAUAUGACACUAGCAGUUGGAAAUUGGAAGCAAAUAGUGGUCUCCUGCAGCAAAGUCCACUUUUUUCCCAUUCAUGUUUUGUUAUUACCAAUUAAAAUGACAAAAACUACAAAAAUAAGAUAUUAAACCACCACAUUAAAC
Molecule: long non-coding RNA, 1381 nt
Organism: Scomber scombrus (Atlantic mackerel)
Lineage: Eukaryota; Metazoa; Chordata; Actinopteri; Scombriformes; Scombridae
Exons: 4
Source: RefSeq, a predicted model, not a curated record